AUCGAGCUGACGUAAAAGUGGCAGGAGAGUCGUGUGUUUACUAGCUCAGUGCUGUAGAGUUCUGCUGCUGCGGUAUGUCGCUAACUCCUGUUUCGGGCACUUCUUCGAGUAUGUCUACUGACCGUGUUGAAGACCGGGAAGUAGAUGUGUUCGAGAGGUUAAUGCGUUCAUCGCUGGAAGAUGUAUGUAUUAACAGAGACAUCCAUGGAUUUUGCGAGACAGAAGAGGAUAUUGUCCAUCUUUGAGCAACCUGCGCGUCCAUGGCUACGCAUACUCAGUUAGAAGAACUGCGUAUUAUCGCCAGCCCCCUUCAGGUGCUGCUAAACAUGAGACAGGAUUUUUCUACAGCCACACAAAAGGCAACAUACCAAUACAGUUUUUUGGCCCUGUUUUUUGUGUUGAAAGCUUAGUGAAAAGAGUGUACUCUUGGCAAAUUAUAUCAUAAAAAGGAGACUCCUGUUGCAGAUCAUCUGGUGGACCAUGUUAACCCAGAGAAGAAGAGAAAAGUUCUCAUGGACACACAAAAGAAAGGCUGCCCAGCAACACUGGACAUUAAGUGUGUCGGGUAUUACCCUAUUAUGCGAUAAAAUCGGCAACAGACAGUUCAAAAAAGAGAGUUACUGUGAAACUGAGACGAGACUUGGAGUCGACACAGGUACCGAAAAGUUACCUGCAAUAUUAUGUGGCUGCCUCCCAAGCAAGCCGCCAUAAUCAUGGCACUGAAUGUCUGAAAACGAUUGGACACAUACACCCUUUGCUUUCAAAAGAGAUCAGGGAUAUAGUUACAAAGGGGACGAACUCAGUUCGGAUAAUUAAGUUAGAACUGGAUAGAUUUGUGGAAAAAAAAUUCACACACACACACACACACACACACACACACACACACACACGCUUUUAUGAUCCUGAUAAUGUAAGACCACCAGCUUGUGGGAGACCACCAGCUUGUUGCGCGCGCGCACCCACGUGCCCACACUUUUAUGAUCCUGAUAAUGGAAGACCACCAGCUUGUGGGUUUGACGAUGUUAAAUCAUCCACACAUUCUCGAAGCCUCUUCAGAGUUCUAGAAAUUGCUUCUCUGUUUCUACAGUUGUAGGUCAGGUUUAUGGCCUGCCUUGCUAAUUCCAGUGCAUCUUGCUCCUCUGAUGAAGUUGAGCUUCUGGGAUUGUCACUGCCUUGGUUUACUGCCUCCUCACUGCUGGUAUCCUCUGAACUUUGUAAUACAGGGCUGGCAGGUUCAGACCAACUGCUGCUUGAGCCAAACCCAAAGGUCUCUGAAGCCAUUGCUUAUUAAAAUAAUCAAGUGCACUAGAAUUUCUAGUUAAUAAUUCAUGAGAUUGAAGGUUUUGUUUUGCAGUUAAAAAUUUUUCUUCAGAUGGUGACUCAGCAAUUCCUUCCCACAGGUUGAGAAUUUGCUCACUAUCACCCGGUAUGUCUAAAUUAUUGUUUUUGCUAAGCCACCGUUGCCAGGCUUGCUUUUGAUGAAAUAAAUGAAGAUAACCCAUGAAACUGGAUUCCAGUCUGGGUUCCAUGCCUUGAAAAUUUCUAGAGCCUCCUUAAUUGAUGCAGUGUUUUCUACUUGCAUGAAGAAUAUCCCAACUACUAAAUAGCAUACAUUAGCUUUCACUACCAAGAAAAAUAAUGGAAUGUCAUACUUCGUUGUCUUUUAUGUUGCAUCAAGCAAACAUACCCUACCAUACUUUUUCAAAAGUUCCCUUUGCCACUUGUGCUGGUAAUAAAAAAGCAAUGGCUGCACUUUUCCAUUGUCAUCUGUUAACGGUCUGAAAAAAAAUCUCUCAGCCUUCGAUUCCUUUUCCCACCCAUUAAUUUAAUUCCUUAAUGCAUCUUGGUCAAUAACAGUUUUCUUCAAAUUACACAGAGCCCGAUACAUAUGGCUAUAAAUUGUACUAUCUGUUGGAUAAAACAUUAUGUUCAUCCGAUCUGGUCUGUUCCAGCAACACUGAAGUGCACAAUCCCCGAAAGUGUUUACAAACAAACUUUAGUUAUGUUUUAUUUGCAGCAAGUGUGUUUCUGUAUUGCACCCUGUUCACUCACUGAUUUCCUUACAAGAAAUAAGCUCUGAGCGCAUGGGUGUAAGUUGUUUAAUUUGUGUGGUAAAACAAUAUUUGAGAAACUGUUUUUCAUUUAUAAAACAGUAGCAACUCAAAAAACUUAUGUACAUUGCUCAUAAUUUGUUGUGUAGUCAGAAUCCUCUUGUUGGAAUGAAAAAAUUCAAUUGUGUAAUUAUCAUUUCCUUUGGCAAUGAAUCAUAUGAGCUAAACAUGACAUUAGAGGGAAUAGCAAUUUUCAAAUCAUAUUUUUCUGUGCAUACCCCUCUGUGUGCAUUGUUCCUUUAACUUGCACACGAUCUGUUGUUCAAAAUGACUAGUUGUUAGUGUUUUUUAAAUGUUUAUACAAUUGUACAUGUCAAUGUAUUUUAUGUUUUGCAUUUAUGUAAGCACGCAUGGACUAUGUAUGUGAAUUGGACACAUGAAGAAAUGUCAUUGUGUAAUUAUCUUUUUUGAGUGAAAUCUAAACUCCAUGUAUUUCCUAUUACAGAUAAUAAAACAAUGUCGUAUUAAUAA
This is a long non-coding RNA of Schistocerca gregaria, 2582 nucleotides long. RefSeq lists it as uncharacterized. The transcript is spliced from 4 exons. Lineage: Eukaryota; Metazoa; Arthropoda; Insecta; Orthoptera; Acrididae. The record is from RefSeq and is a predicted model, not a curated record.